AGAGGGUGCAAGCGUUAAUCGGAAUUACUGGGCGUAAAGCGCGCGUAGGCGGUUUAGUAAGUCGGAUGUGAAAGCCCAGGGCUUAACCUUGGAAUUGCAUUCGAUACUGCUUGACUAGAGUAUGGUAGAGGGAAGUGGAAUUUCCGGUGUAGCGGUGAAAUGCGUAGAUAUCGGAAGGAACACCAGUGGCGAAGGCGACUUCCUGGGCCAAUACUGACGCUGAGGUGCGAAAGCGUGGGGAGCAAACAGGGAUUAGAUACCCUGGUAGUCCACGCCGUAAACGAUGAGAACUAGAUGUUGGGGGGGGGUUGCCCUUCGGUGUCGCAGCUAACGCGUUAAGUUCUCCGCCUGGGGGAGUACGCCGGCAACGGUA
RNAcentral lists this ribosomal RNA (373 nucleotides) under uncultured organism. RNAcentral describes it as "partial 16S ribosomal RNA". It matches the Rfam family "Bacterial small subunit ribosomal RNA", at positions 527 to 896 of the family's 1533-position model. The record is from RNAcentral.